Molecule: ribosomal RNA, 403 nt
Filed under: Fusobacteriota bacterium
Lineage: Bacteria; Fusobacteriati; Fusobacteriota
Description: Fusobacteria bacterium partial 16S ribosomal RNA
Rfam family: Bacterial small subunit ribosomal RNA
Source: RNAcentral
UGGGGAAUUUUGCACAAUGGAGGAAACUCUGAUGCAGCGACGCCGCGUGAGUGAUGAAGAUCUUCGGAUUGUAAAACUCUGUCCUUAGUGAAGAUAAUGACAGUAACUAAGAAGCAAGCCCUGGCUAAAUACGUGCCAGCAGCCGCGGUAAUACGUAUGGGGCAAGCGUUGUCCGGAAUUAUUGGGCGUAAAGGGUACGUAGGCGGUUUAAUAAGUCCUAAUUAAAAGGCUAUGGCUCAACCAUAGUAUGGUUAGGAAACUGUUGAACUUGAGUAGAUGAGGGGAAAGUGGAAUUCCAUGUGUAGCGGUGAAAUGCGUAGAUAUAUGGAGGAACACCAAUUGCGAAGGCAACUUUCUGGAAUCAAACUGACGCUGAGGUACGAAGGCGUGGGGAGCAAACAGG